GUGAUUUUUAUAUAGCUAUGUAAACCUACAGCCAACUCAUUCAGCUUGCUCACUUGGAGUUGCUUUAAGUGCUCUAUUAGUCUUCUUUAAGGAGUUAUUUAAAAAAAACAGAUGUUCAAACAAACCAGGUAAUUACUGUUUUUCAUUGUUUUUAUAUAAUUGUUGCUUUGUUGUGUCUUGGUAAAUGAGGGUAGCAGCAAGAUUGAAAGUGUGACACUGUGCACACCAUGUAACAUGGAUGCGCGCCUGGAAGAAUCCUUCUAGGGUCCAUGACCCUGUGGCAGGUGUGCCCAAGAGGAAGUCCAGAAUGAAGAUCUGGAGAAGCAAAUUCCAACAUUGAGGCAGACUGAUAAUUGUUAAAGGGAUCUGCUGCUUACUGAGCAGAGUUUAGUGGGGGUAUGUAGUGGUGUGGUUAUAGAAAAGGCAGCUAGGAAACAGGCACAUAGCUGG
Non-coding RNA from Pelobates cultripes (western spadefoot toad), 450 nucleotides. The record is from the annotation of a GenBank genome assembly. Lineage: Eukaryota; Metazoa; Chordata; Amphibia; Anura; Pelobatidae.